UCUGGUUGAUCCUGCCAGUAGUGAUAUGCUUGUUUCAAAGAUUAAGCCACGCAUGUCUAAGUAUAAGCGAACUUAUACAGUGAAACUGCGGAUGGCUCAUUAAAACAGUUUGAAUUUAUUUGAUGAAUGUAUGAGAAUACUACUUGGAUAACCGUAGUAAUUCUAGAGCUAAUACAUGCAGCGACGCCCGACCGUUUCACUACGGAAGGGCUGUAUUUAUUGGAUACCAAAACCAUCCUUCCCUCGGGAAGUUUUGUUUGAUGAUUCACAAUAACUGAUCGGAUCGCCACUGUGGUGGCGACAGGUCAUUCAACAUUCUGCCCUAUCAGCUUUCGAUGGUUGUGUAGUGGACAACCAUGGCCAUAACGGGUAACGGAGAAUCAGGGUUCGAUUCCGGAGAAGGAGCUUGAGAAUUGGCCACUACAUCUAAGGAAGGCAGCAGGCGCGCAAAUUACCCAAUCCCGAUUCGGGGAGGUAGUGACAAAAAAUAACAAUACCGGGCCUUUUUGGGCUUGGUAAUUGGAAUGAGGGAGAGUUAAACGGACCAUCGAGUAUCCAUUGGAGGGCAAGUCUGGUGCCAGCAGCUGCGGUAAUACCAGCUCCAAUAGCGUAUAUUAAAGUUGUUGCAGUUAAAAAGCUCGUAGUUGGACUUGUGUGCGCUGUCCGCGGGUGGCCUGCGCCCAAAAGGGCGUUUCGGUUCGGCCCCGGUGGCGCCUUGAAAUCUGCAGCUGGGGGGACGUUGGCCUUAACUGGUCGGCGACCGCACGCCGGCUGCUCGGUUACUGUGAGAAAAUUAGAGUGUUCAAGGCAGGCAUUGGGUGCAAUUGAAUACAUUAGCAUGGAAUAAUAAAAUAUGGCUCCUGCCGUAUUUUGUUGGUUUUGACUGGUGGGAGUAAUGAUUGAUAGGGACGGUUGGGGGUGCUAGUAUUGAGCGGCCAGAGGUGAAAUUCAUGGAUUCGCUCAAGACUAACUUAUGCGAAAGCAUUCACCAAGGACGUCCUCUUUAAUCAAGAACGAAAGUUGGGGGAUCGAAGACGAUCAGAUACCGUCGUAGUCUCAACCAUAAACUAUGUCGACUUGGGAUCGGCGGUAGUUUUUUCAUUAAGACACUGUCGGGACCACGGGAGAAAUCAAAGUGUCUGGACUCUGGGGGAAGUAUGGUCGCAAGGCUGAAACUUGAAGGAAUUGACGGAAGGGCACCACCAGGAGUGGAGCCU
RNAcentral lists this ribosomal RNA (1217 nucleotides) under metagenome. RNAcentral describes it as "SSU rRNA". It matches the Rfam family "Eukaryotic small subunit ribosomal RNA", at positions 1 to 1184 of the family's 1831-position model. The record is from RNAcentral.